GACGAACGCUGGCGGCGUGCUUAACACAUGCAAGUCGAACGGAAAGGCCAGUGCUUGCACUGGUGCUCGAGUGGCGAACGGGUGAGUAACACGUGGGUGAUCUGCCUUGCACUCUGGGAUAAGCUUGGGAAACUGGGUCUAAUACCGGAUAGGAACCGUAUUUAGUGUGGUGGUUGGAAAGUUUUUUCGGUGCAAGAUGAGCUCGCGGCCUAUCAGCUUGUUGGUGGGGUAAUGGCCUACCAAGGCGUCGACGGGUAGCCGGCCUGGGAGGGUGUACGGCCACAUUGGGACUGCGAUAAGGCCCAGACUCCUACGGGAGGCAGGAGGGGGGAAUAGUGCACAAUGGGCGGAAGCCUGAUGCAGCGACGCCGGGUGGGGGAUGACGGCCUUCGGGGUGUAAACUCCUUUCGGCAGGGGCGAAGCGUUAUGUGACGGUACCUUAAUAAGAAGCACCGGCUAACUACGUG
Molecule: ribosomal RNA, 467 nt
Filed under: uncultured bacterium
Lineage: Bacteria
Description: partial 16S ribosomal RNA
Rfam family: Bacterial small subunit ribosomal RNA
Source: RNAcentral